RNAcentral lists this ribosomal RNA (461 nucleotides) under uncultured eukaryote. RNAcentral describes it as "bacterial LSU rRNA". It matches the Rfam family "Bacterial large subunit ribosomal RNA", at positions 34 to 512 of the family's 2925-position model. The record is from RNAcentral.
UGGGUCUGAGAGGCGAUGAAGGACGUGGUAAGCUGCGAUAAGCUUUCGGGGGAGCUUGCACACAAGCGUUAUAUCCGAAGAUUUCCGAAUAGGGAAACCUGUUAUGUUGAAGACAUAACACUCGAAAGAGAGCCAACCUCCUGAACUGAAACAUCUAAGUAGGGGAGAGGAAAAGAAAACAAUAGUGAUUCCCUGAGUAGUGGCGAGCGAAAUGGGAAUAGCCCAACUAUAAUAGCGUGCUAUUAUAGGGUUAUAGGACUACAUUUAGAAAUAUACAUCAAACUGAAUCUUCUGGAAAGUUGAGCCAUAGCAGGUGAUAGCCCUGUAAGUACAAAUUGUAUAGGACGAGUAGUAUCCUGAGUAAGGCGGAACCGGAGGAAUUCUGCCUGAAUUUGCCAGCACCAUCUGGUAAGGCUAAAUACUACUCAGACACCGAUAGUGAACCAGUACCGUAAGGGAAA